AGUGAACGCUGGCGGUAGGCCUAACACAUGCAAGUCGAACGGCAGCACAGUAAGAGCUUGCUCUUACGGGUGGCGAGUGGCGGACGGGUGAGGAAUACAUCGGAAUCUACUUUUUCGGGGGGGAUAACGUAGGGAAACUUACGCUAAUACCGCAUACGACCUACGGGUGAAAGCAGGGGAUCUUCGGACCUUGCGCGAUUGAAUGAGACGAUGUCGGAUUAGCUAGUUGGCGGGGUAAAGGCCCACCAAGGCGACGAUCCGUAGCUGGUCUGAGAGGAUGAUCAGCCACACUGGAACUGAGACACGGUCCAGACUCCUACGGGAGGCAGCAGUGGGGAAUAUUGGACAAAGGGCGCAAGCCUGAUCCAGCCAUACCGCGUGGGUGAAGAAGGCCUUCGGGUUGUAAAGCCCUUUUGUUGGGAAAGAAAAGCAGCAGGUUAAUACCCCGCUGUUCUGACGGUACCCAAAGAAUAAGCACCGGCUAACUUCGUG
Molecule: ribosomal RNA, 492 nt
Filed under: uncultured bacterium
Lineage: Bacteria
Description: partial 16S ribosomal RNA
Rfam family: Bacterial small subunit ribosomal RNA
Source: RNAcentral